GACGAACGCUGGCGGCGUGCUUAACACAUGCAAGUCGAACGGAAAGGCCCCUUUGGGGGUACUCGAGUGGCGAACGGGUGAGUAACACGUGAGUAACCUGCCCUUGACUUCGGGAUAACUUCAGGAAACUGGGGCUAAUACCGGAUAGGAAUACUUGCUGCAUGGUGGGGGUUGGAAAGCUUCGGCGGUUUUGGAUGGACUCGCGGCUUAUCAGCUUGUUGGUGGGGUAGUGGCUUACCAAGGCUUUGACGGGUAGCCGGCCUGAGAGGGCGACCGGCCACAUUGGGACUGGGAUACGGCCCAGACUCCUACGGGAGGCAGCAGUGGGGAAUAUUGCACAAUGGGCGUAAGCCUGAUGCAGCUACGCCGCGUGCGGGAUGACGGCCUUCGGGUUGUAAACCGCUUUCAGCAGGGGCGAAGCUUGUGGUGACGGUACCUGCAGAAGAAGCACCGGCUAACUACGUG
Molecule: ribosomal RNA, 465 nt
Filed under: uncultured bacterium
Lineage: Bacteria
Description: partial 16S ribosomal RNA
Rfam family: Bacterial small subunit ribosomal RNA
Source: RNAcentral